RNAcentral lists this ribosomal RNA (526 nucleotides) under uncultured bacterium. RNAcentral's name for it is "bacterial SSU rRNA". It matches the Rfam family "Bacterial small subunit ribosomal RNA", at positions 777 to 1304 of the family's 1533-position model. The record is from RNAcentral.
AAUAGAUACCCGGGUAGUCCACGCCGUAAACGAUGUCGACUUGGAGGUUGUUCCCUUGAGGAGUGGCUUCCGGAGCUAACGCGUUAAGUCGACCGCCUGGGGAGUACGGCCGCAAGGUUAAAACUCAAAUGAAUUGACGGGGGCCCGCACAAGCGGUGGAGCAUGUGGUUUAAUUCGAUGCAACGCGAAGAACCUUACCUACUCUUGACAUCCAGAGAACUUAGCAGAGAUGCUUUGGUGCCUUCGGGAACUCUGAGACAGGUGCUGCAUGGCUGUCGUCAGCUCGUGUUGUGAAAUGUUGGGUUAAGUCCCGCAACGAGCGCAACCCUUAUCCUUUGUUGCCAGCGGUCCGGCCGGGAACUCAAAGGAGACUGCCAGUGAUAAACUGGAGGAAGUGGGGAUGACGUCAAGUCAUCAUGGCCCUUACGAGUAGGGCUACACACGUGCUACAAUGGCGUAUACAAAGAGAAGCGACCUCGCGAGAGCAAGCGGACCUCAUAAAGUACGUCGUAGUCCGGAUUGGAGU